GCGGGGCUGCCCGACGCGUGAAGGCAUGUCACACCCCUGGGCCGAUAAGCACUUCCUAGGGAGCUGGCUCUGUUGUGGCCCUGGUCACAUUACCCGGCGCCCACCUGCACUAGCAGGUCCUGGAGGUUGAAAGACCCACGGUCAUGGUGGCUCCGCA
RNAcentral lists this non-coding RNA (157 nucleotides) under Acetobacter sp. Its description in RNAcentral is "6S RNA". It matches the Rfam family "6S / SsrS RNA". From Rfam's summary of the family: E. coli 6S RNA was the first non coding RNA to be sequenced, but its function was unknown until recently. It consists of 184 nucleotides that fold into an extended hairpin structure with a large single-stranded internal bulge. The 6S RNA specifically associates with RNA polymerase holoenzyme containing the sigma70 specificity factor. RNAcentral also lists the same sequence under 1 other name. The record is from RNAcentral. Lineage: Bacteria; Pseudomonadati; Pseudomonadota; Alphaproteobacteria; Acetobacterales; Acetobacteraceae.